This is a long non-coding RNA of Mytilus californianus (California mussel), 301 nucleotides long. RefSeq lists it as uncharacterized. The transcript is spliced from 3 exons. The record is from RefSeq and is a predicted model, not a curated record. Lineage: Eukaryota; Metazoa; Mollusca; Bivalvia; Mytilida; Mytilidae.
AGGAUAAUAGUUACGCUGAACGGUGCCCACUGGUCACCCUAUAAAUAGUGCUCUUGUGUGUAGUAAUAUUGUAGUUCUAACACAUGUCUAAAAAUAGAAAGCUUAAAAUAGACAAUUCAUCUUUCUAUUUAGCAAUACACCAUAGAGCCUGUCACCGUCUGUAUUAUCUGAUAAUGUUAGCUGUCAUAAAAGAAAGAAGUAAAGCAUUUUUGGAAACUAUAUGGGAUUCAUGGAAAGGAAAUGCUGACGAAAAGUUUGGUACGGUGUAUGGGAAUGUUCUUUACGUAUCGGAUUUAAUGAG